RNAcentral lists this long non-coding RNA (2233 nucleotides) under Fragaria vesca (wild strawberry). RNAcentral's name for it is "long non-coding RNA (FVES_LNC000313)". Lineage: Eukaryota; Viridiplantae; Streptophyta; Magnoliopsida; Rosales; Rosaceae. The record is from RNAcentral.
UCUCUCUCUCUCUCUCUCUCUCUCUCUCUCUCUCUCUCUCUCUCUCUCUCUCUCUCUCUCUCUCUCAUCAACCCAGACCCUAUUCUCUUCACCUCGCCAGCACCAUCCCCGCCUCUACCGCGUCGCACCAUAUCUCCUCCGUCUGCAACGCCGCACCAGAUCUCCUUCGCCUGCGACGCCGUCUAGUCCUUCCUCCAUCGCACCAGAUCUCCUAUUCGAUCUCAGAGCAACUCUGAUCUGCGCCAAGCUGGCGACGACGAGAGAGUAAGGUUGUGGUUAUGGUUAUGGUUGCUGCCGGGGCGCGCUCGGGGCUAGAUCUCCUCCGCCUGCGACGUCGUCUAGUCCUUCCUCCACCGCACCAUAUCUCCUAUUCGAUCCCUGAGCAACUCUAAUCUGCGCCAAGCUGGUGACGACGAGAGAGUAAGGUUGUGGUUAUGGUUAUGGUUGCUGCUGGGGCGCGCUCGGGGCUAGAUCUCCUCCACCUGCGACGCAAUCUAGUCCUUCCUCCAUCGCACCAGAUCUCCUAUCUGAUCCCGGAGCGACUUUGAUCUAUGCCAAGCCGGCGACGACGAGAGAGUAAGGCUGUGGUUGUGGUUGUUGUCGGGGCACGCUCGGAGCUAGGGCUCGGCUGGAGUUCAAUCCGGGCUGGAUCGUGGUUGGGGAAGGGCGUUGCUUGCUGGCGCUUGUUCUGCAGAGUGAGGUGCGCCGGGGUCGGUAGAGGAGGCCGGUGUGCUCGCCGUCGGGGAAGGUGGGUGAGAAAAGAAAUAUGGGUGCCCAGAGCAUGACCUCAAGUCAGUUAGUAGUUUUUUUUUUUUAUAAUUUUUUUUUAUCCUUACAUUUGAAUAUUGGGGUAGUAAGUGAUUUUUGAGGAUUGAUAAGUGAUCAUUGAGGUCAGUAAGUUAUUAUUUGAGGUUUGUAACUAGAUUAUUAAGGGUCAGUAAGUGAAUAUAUAUUUUUUUUUAUCCUUACAUUUGAAUAUUGGGGUAGUAAGUGAUUAUUGAGGAUUGAUAAGUGAUCAUUGGGGUCAGUAAGUUAUUAGUUGAGAUUUGUAACCUGAUUAUUGAGGGUCAGUAAGUGAUUAUUAGGUGUCAGUAACUGAAAACUAAGUGAUUAUUGGGUGUCAGUAACCGAAAACUAAAAGUUAUUGAGGUCAGUAACUCAAUUAUUAGGGUUAGUGAAUCUUCUUUUCUAUUACAUUACACUGAAAUAAGUUGAUUAUUGGGGGUUAGUAACUGAUUAUUGGUUAGUAACUGAUUAUUGGGGGUCAGUAACCGAGUUACUAGGGGUCAGUAACUAAUUAUUGAGGAUUAGUAAUGAGGGUCAGUAACUGAUUAUUGGGGGCCAGUAACUGAUUAUUGGGGAUCAGUAACUGAGUUACUGGGGGUCAGUAACCGAGUUAUUGGUUACCGAAAUCCGAUGACCGGAGAAAAUCCGAGUUACUGGGGGUUGGUGACUGGAAUCUUGCGGUCUGAAAAAAUUCGGCAACCGGUGACCGGAAUCCGGCGGCCGGAAAAAAUUUGGCAACCAGUGACCGGAAUCCGACGGCCGGUGACUGGAGAACGGUGAGGCUCCGGCAAAGUCUUUUCUCUCUUGCAUUUCUCUCUCUCUCUCUCUCUAUGCAUAUUUAAGAGGUGAGGGUAAAAUAGUCUUAAAAUAAUAUAGUUUGUUAAGACUUUAGUAAAAAUUUGUGCAUUUGGGCAUAAAAAAGUUACCUUAUAUUGGAAUGGGCUCAUGAAAGGAUUGUCAAUGGAAUGAGGAAUGAGGGGUUUAAAUUAGUCUAAAUGGACAUUUUCCCCAAUGCAAAUGACUAAAAUAUCUUCUGUUUAUACGAUUAUCAAUUAGAUAAGACGUAAUUCUAUGUCGCAUUUCUCAUCUUGUACCGGUAUGUUAUGAUGUUAUUGUUAACAUAAUAUUAGAUAAUAUGAGAGAUAACUUUUAGUUUAAGUUUCUCUCUUUGUACAACUUUAACAUUAUUUAGUAAGAACCAUAUAAGUGGUAUGACUAUACACACUUACAUAGUCGACCUAUAAUGUUUGAGACCUGAUCUCGCACAUCUCUUAUUUACACAACUAUAUUACUAUAAGAAAAUACCAGCUUUCCCACAUGUGCUCGCGCGCGUGCAGAAGUGUGUUUUCUGUCAGUUUAAUAAUUAUGAAAUCUUUGCUAGUUCGAUCAAUUAUUGUGUUGUUUUCACAGACAACUUUAUGAAAUUCAAAUAAAAAUGUCACAAAUG